RNAcentral lists this ribosomal RNA (497 nucleotides) under uncultured bacterium. RNAcentral describes it as "partial 16S ribosomal RNA". It matches the Rfam family "Bacterial small subunit ribosomal RNA", at positions 28 to 507 of the family's 1533-position model. The record is from RNAcentral.
GAUGAACGCUGGCGGCGUGCCUAAUACAUGCAAGUCGAGCGAACAGACGAGGCGCUUGCUCCUCUGACGUUAGCGGCGGGCGGGUGAGUAACACGUGGAUAACCUACCUAUAAGACUGAGAUAACUUCGGGAGACCGGAGCUAAUACCGGAUAAUAUAUUGAACCGCAUGGUUCAAUAGUGCACAACGGUUUUGCUGUCACUUAUAGAUGGAUCCGCGCCGCAUUAGCUAGUUGGUAAGGUAACGGCUUACCAAGGCAACGAUGCGUAGCCGACCUGAGAGGGUGAUCGGCCACACUGGAACUGAGACACGGUCCAGACUCCUACGGGAGGCAGCAGUAGGGAAUCUUCCGCAAUGGGCGAAAGCCUGACGGAGCAACGCCGCGUGAGUGAUGAAGGUCUUCGGAUCGUAAAGCUCUGUUAUUAGGGAAGAACAAAUGUGUAAGUAACUAUGCACGUCUUGACGGUACCUAAUCAGAAAGCCACGGCUAACUACGUG